CAAAAAAUAGUUUAUAAAAAAUAAAGGCUUUGGAAGCUUUUGAAGAAUAAAGUUUCUUUUUUGA
This 64-nucleotide transfer RNA is filed under the name Oncopodura yosiiana. RNAcentral describes it as "tRNA-Pro". Lineage: Eukaryota; Metazoa; Arthropoda; Collembola; Entomobryomorpha; Oncopoduridae. The record is from RNAcentral.